UCCGUAGGGGAACCUGCGGAGGGAUCAUUACACAAAUAUGAAGGCGGGCUGGAAUCUCUCGGGGUUACAGCCUUGCUGAAUUAUUCACCCUUGUCUUUUGCGUACUUCUUGUUUCCUUGGUGGGUUCGCCCACCACUAGGACAAACAUAAACCUUUUGUAAUUGCAAUCAGCGUCAGUAACAAAUUAAUAAUUACAACUUUCAACAACGGAUCUCUUGGUUCUGGCAUCGAUGAAGAACGCAGCGAAAUGCGAUAAGUAGUGUGAAUUGCAGAAUUCAGUGAAUCAUCGAAUCUUUGAACGCACAUUGCGCCCUUUGGUAUUCCAAAGGGCAUGCCUGUUCGAGCGUCAUUUGUACCCUCAAGCUUUGCUUGGUGUUGGGCGUCUUGUCUCUAGCUUUGCUGGAGACUCGCCUUAAAGUAAUUGGCAGCCGGCCUACUGGUUUCGGAGCGCAGCACAAGUCGCACUCUCUAUCAGCAAAGGUCUAGCAUCCAUUAAGCCUUUUUUCAACUUUUGACCUCGGAUCAGGUAGGGAUACCCGCUGAACUUAUGCAUAUCAAUAAGCCGGAGGAA
This 571-nucleotide ribosomal RNA is filed under the name Alternaria alternata. RNAcentral describes it as "eukaryotic LSU rRNA". The stretch from base 196 to 349 matches the Rfam family "5.8S ribosomal RNA". The record is from RNAcentral. Lineage: Eukaryota; Fungi; Ascomycota; Dothideomycetes; Pleosporales; Pleosporaceae.